RNAcentral lists this ribosomal RNA (690 nucleotides) under Triticum aestivum (bread wheat). RNAcentral describes it as "partial small subunit ribosomal RNA". The record is from RNAcentral. Lineage: Eukaryota; Viridiplantae; Streptophyta; Magnoliopsida; Poales; Poaceae.
AUGCCGCCGCCGGGGCUGGCGAACCGCUACUUCCUCGUGCGCGCUGGCGAGUCGGUGUACGAGGGGCAGGGACUCCUCCGGACCAACCCCGUCGCCAAGACCUCCGUCGACAGCGGUCUCUCCCCCGCCGGCCUCCGCCAGGCCGCGCGCGCCGCGCUCGAGCUCCGCCGCCUUGGUGCAUGCGAGGACGACUGCUGGAUAUGGCCCUCCAUCACCCAGCGCGCCUACCAGGCCGCCGAGAUCAUCGCUGCCGCCAACAGCAUCAACCGCAGUAAAAUCGUGCCGGAGUAUAGCUUCUUGGACGCGCGGGGGCUGGGUGCGUACGAGGGGAAGAAGUUAGAAGCAUUGCCAGAGGUGUAUGCGUCUGAUAAUAUUUCGCCGGACAUCAAACCACCUCCUACUUAUGAUGGUACACCUAACGAGAGCGUGGCGGAUGUAUUUGUUCGGGUAACACAGCUCAUGUCAAUACUAGAGACUCAGUACUCAGGGGAUACUGUUGUCAUCGUUUCACCAGAUUCUGACAACUUGUCAAUUCUUCAAGCUGGGUUGAUAGGACUGGACCUGCGGAGGCAUGACAGCCUGUUCUUUCAGCCGGGUGAGGUCCGAGCCGUUGAUCCUGCCAGUAUACCUGAAUAUAAGCAACCAGCCUCUAGUGUUUUUAAGUGUACAAACCCACCAAGUUGCAAAUAA